Long non-coding RNA from Homo sapiens (human), 635 nucleotides. NCBI's taxonomy places the organism in Eukaryota, Metazoa, Chordata, Mammalia, Primates, Hominidae. The record is from Ensembl.
UUUAAAAAGAACUGUGAUAUUUGACAAAUACACUUGCUUUGUUCCCAGUCAUCAUUUUCACUAUGUCUUUGGCAGCAGUUUUGGUAAGUGUGUGAACAAUGAAUUCAGUAGGUCUAACCUUUGCAAUUCAGUACAACCUUAUAAAAUGUGGUUUCCAUAGCUUUUGCCUUUGGCCUGUUGUGUUUAGCUUUAGGUGAUGAUGAAAUGUCCUUCCAUUCUAGGUGGAUAAGUCUCACGAGAUCUGAUGGUUUUAAAAAUGGGAGUUUCCCUGUACAAGCUCUCUCUUUGCCUGCUGCCAUCUGUGUAAGAAGUGACUUGCUCCUCCUUGCCCUCCGACAUGAUCAUGAGGCCUCCCCAGCCACAUGGAAUUGAAGCAAAGGACUCUGAAAUGGUGGAACACGAUGCAAGGAACCUGUAUCCUUGGGUUUACCCCUCAGAGGAAAACCACCCUGGAGAGUUGCUCAUACAGGAACCAUCUCAUAGGACUUUGUAUUCCAAGAUUAUAAAAAUAUUCUCCUGGCUGGGGCACAGUGGCUCACAACUGUAACCCCAACACUUUGGGAGGCUGAGGUGAGUGGCUCGCUUGAGGCCAGGAGUUCGAGAUCAGCCUAGGCAACACAUAACCCGGUCUCAAA